ACAAGCAGUGGGAGCACAGGUUUACCUGUGUGACUGCGUACCUUUUGUAUAAUGGGUCAGCGACUUAUAUUCUGUAGCAAGGUUAACCGUAUAGGGGAGCCGUAGGGAAACCGAGUCUUAACCGGGCGUUAAGUUGCAGGGUAUAGACCCGAAACCCGGUGAUCUAGCCAUGGGCAGGUUGAAGGUUGGGUAACACUAACUGGAGGACCGAACCGACUAAUGUUGAAAAAUUAGCGGAUGACCUGUGGCUGGGGGUGAAAGGCCAAUCAAACCGGGAGAUAGCUGGUUCUCCCCGAAAGCUAUUUAGGUAGCGCCUCGUGAAUUCAUCUCCGGGGGUAGAGCACUGUUUCGGCUAGGGGGCCAUCCCGGCUUACCAACCCGAUGCAAACUGCGAAUACCGGAGAAUGUUAUCACGGGAGACACACGGCGGGUGCUAACGUCCGUCGUGAAGAGGGAAACAACCCAGACCGCCAGCUAAGGUCCCAAAGUCAUGGUUAAGUGGGAAACGAUGUGGGAAGGCCCAGACAGCCAGGAUGUUGGCUUAGAAGCAGCCAUCAUUUAAAGAAAGCGUAAUAGCUCACUGGUCGAGUCGGCCUGCGCGGAAGAUGUAACGGGGCUAAACCAUGCACCGAAGCUGCGGCAGCGAACGUAUCACCCAAGACAACUUUACGGAGUUGACGAUUGACGGAGCGAAGCGACGUCAAAGCGUUCAUUAAAGUCGAGUUGGCUUAGGGAUACGUUCGUUGGGUAGGGGAGCGUUCUGUAAGCCUGUGAAGGUGUGUCGUGAGGCAUGCUGGAGGUAUCAGAAGUGCGAAUGCUGACAUAAGUAACGAUAAAGCGGGUGAAAAGCCCGCUCGCCGGAAGACCAAGGGUUCCUGUCCAACGUUAAUCGGGGCAGGGUGAGUCGACCCCUAAGGCGAGGCCGAAAGGCGUAGUCGAUGGGAAACGGGUUAAUAUUCCCGUACUUGGUGUUACUGCGAAGGGGGGACGGAGAAGGCUAUGUUGGCCGGGCGACGGUUGUCCCGGUUUAAGCGUGUAGGUGUGUGUUCCAGGUAAAUCCGGUUCACUUUAACACUGAGGCGUGACGACGAGGCACUACGGUGCUGAAGCAACAAAUGCCCUGCUUCCAGGAAAAGCCUCUAAGCAUCAGGUAACACGAAAUCGUACCCCAAACCGACACAGGUGGUCAGGUAGAGAAUACCAAGGCGCUUGAGAGAACUCGGGUGAAGGAACUAGGCAAAAUGGUGCCGUAACUUCGGGAGAAGGCACGCUGACACGUAGGUGAAGUGAUUUACUCAUGGAGCUGAAGUCAGUCGAAGAUACCAGCUGGCUGCAACUGUUUAUUAAAAACACAGCACUGUGCAAACACGAAAGUGGACGUAUACGGUGUGACGCCUGCCCGGUGCCGGAA
Molecule: ribosomal RNA, 1411 nt
Filed under: Salmonella enterica subsp. enterica serovar Typhimurium
Lineage: Bacteria; Pseudomonadati; Pseudomonadota; Gammaproteobacteria; Enterobacterales; Enterobacteriaceae
Description: partial 23S ribosomal RNA
Rfam family: Bacterial large subunit ribosomal RNA
Source: RNAcentral